GAGUUUGAUCCUGGCUCAGAUUGAACGCUGGCGGCAGGCCUAACACAUGCAAGUCGAACGGUAACAGAAAGCAGCUUGCUGCUUUGCUGACGAGUGGCGGACGGGUGAGUAAUGUCUGGGAAACUGCCUGAUGGAGGGGGAUAACUACUGGAAACGGUAGCUAAUACCGCAUAACGUCGCAAGACCAAAGAGGGGGACCUUCGGGCCUCUUGCCAUCGGAUGUGCCCAGAUGGGAUUAGCUUGUUGGUGGGGUAACGGCUCACCAAGGCGACGAUCUCUAGCUGGUCUGAGAGGAUGACCAGCCACACUGGAACUGAGACACGGUCCAGACUCCUACGGGAGGCAGCAGUGGGGAAUAUUGCACAAUGGGCGCAAGCCUGAUGCAGCCAUGCCGCGUGUAUGAAGAAGGCCUUCGGGUUGUAAAGUACUUUCAGCGGGGAGGAAGGGAGUAAAGUUAAUACCUUUGCUCAUUGACGUUACCCGCAGAAGAAGCACCGGCUAACUCCGUGCCAGCAGCCGCGGUAAUACGGAGGGUGCAAGCGUUAAUC
RNAcentral lists this ribosomal RNA (548 nucleotides) under uncultured bacterium. RNAcentral's name for it is "bacterial SSU rRNA". It matches the Rfam family "Bacterial small subunit ribosomal RNA", at positions 9 to 546 of the family's 1533-position model. The record is from RNAcentral.